This 62-nucleotide transfer RNA is filed under the name Prismosticta microprisma. RNAcentral describes it as "tRNA-Cys". Lineage: Eukaryota; Metazoa; Arthropoda; Insecta; Lepidoptera; Endromidae. The record is from RNAcentral.
AGUUUUAUAGUCAAUGAUGAUAUGAAAUUGCAAAUUUCAAGGAGUAUAUAAUACUAAGGCUU